RNAcentral lists this ribosomal RNA (315 nucleotides) under uncultured archaeon. RNAcentral describes it as "bacterial SSU rRNA". It matches the Rfam family "Archaeal small subunit ribosomal RNA", at positions 1029 to 1343 of the family's 1478-position model. The record is from RNAcentral.
UUUAGUCAGGCAACGAGCGAGACCCGCACCUCUAGUUGCCAGCAGCAUCUCGCGAUGGCUGGGUACACUAGGGGAACUGCCGCCGCCAAGGCGGAGGAAGGAACGGGCAACGGUAGGUCAGUAUGCCCCGAAUGAGCUGGGCAACACGCGGGCUACAAUGGCCGGGACAAUGGGAAGCCACCCCGAGAGGGGGCGCUAAUCUCCUAAACCUGGUCGUAGUUCGGAUUGAGGGCUGAAACUCGCCCUCAUGAAGCUGGAUUCGGUAGUAGUCGCGUUUCAGAAGAGCGCGGCGAAUACGUCCCUGCUCCUUGCACA